CAGCCGCCGCGGUAAUACGGAGGGUGCAAGCGUUAAUCGGAAUUACUGGGCGUAAAGCGCACGCAGGCGGUUUGUUAAGUCAGAUGUGAAAUCCCCGAGCUUAACUUGGGAACUGCAUUUGAAACUGGCAAGCCAGAGUCUUGUAGAGGGGGGUAGAAUUCCAGGUGUAGCGGUGAAAUGCGUAGAGAUCUGGAGGAAUACCGGUGGCGAAGGCGGCCCCCUGGACAAAAACUGACGCUCAGGUGCGAAAGCGUGGGGAGCAAACAGGAUUAGAUACCCCUGUAGUCCCUGUCUCUUAUAC
Molecule: ribosomal RNA, 301 nt
Filed under: uncultured bacterium
Lineage: Bacteria
Description: partial 16S ribosomal RNA
Rfam family: Bacterial small subunit ribosomal RNA
Source: RNAcentral